Molecule: ribosomal RNA, 500 nt
Filed under: uncultured bacterium
Lineage: Bacteria
Description: partial 16S ribosomal RNA
Rfam family: Bacterial small subunit ribosomal RNA
Source: RNAcentral
ACUCAAAUGAAUUGACGGGGGCCCGCACAAGCGGUGGAGCAUGUGGUUUAAUACGUCACAAACCGUAGAACCUUACCAAGGCUUGACAUCCUCUGCACCAGUGUGAAAGCACUGUUCCCGCAAGGGACGGAGAGACAGGUGUUGCAUGGCUGUCGUCAGCUCGUGUCGUGAGAUGUUGGGUUAAGUCCCGCAACGAGCGCAACCCUCAUCCCCUGUUGCCAGCGAGUAAUGUCGGGAACUCUGGGGAAACUGCCGGUGCAAGCCGGAGGAAGGUGAGGACGACGUCAAGUCAGCAUGGCCCUUACGCCUUGGGCUACACACAUGCUACAAUGGACGGUAAACAGAGGGACCCGAAGCCGUGAGGUGGGGGAAAUCCCAGAAAUCCGUUCUCAGUUCGGAUUGCAGGCUGCAACUCGCCUGCAUGAAGCCGGAAUCGCUAGUAAACGCAGGUCAGCGAAACUGCGUUGAAUUCGUUCCCGGGCCUUGUACACACCGCCCGU